Molecule: ribosomal RNA, 460 nt
Filed under: uncultured bacterium
Lineage: Bacteria
Description: partial 16S ribosomal RNA
Rfam family: Bacterial small subunit ribosomal RNA
Source: RNAcentral
CCUACGGGUGGCAGCAGUGAGGAAUAUUGGUCAAUGGGCGCGAGCCUGAACCAGCCAAGUAGCGUGAAGGAUGACUGCCCUACGGGUUGUAAACUUCUUUUAUAAAGGAAUAAAGUGAUGCACGUGUGCCUUUUUGUAUGUACUUUAUUAUUAAGGAUCGGCUAACUCCGUGCCAGCAGCCGCGGUAAUACGGAUGAUCCGAGCGUUAUCCGGAUUUAUUGGGUUUAAAGGGAACGUAGAUGGGUUGUUAAGUCAGUGGUGAAAGUUUGUGGCUCAAACGUAAAAUUGCAAUUGAUACUGGCAGCCUUGAGUACAGUUGAGGUAGGCGGAAUUCGUGGUGUAGCGGUGAAAUGCUUAGAUAUCACGAAGAACACCGAUUGCGAAGGCAGCUUACUAAACUGCAACUGACAUUGAGGCUCGAAAGUGUGGGUAUCAAACAGGAUUAGAUACCCUAGUAGUC